Pelobates cultripes (western spadefoot toad) is the source of this 326-nucleotide non-coding RNA. Lineage: Eukaryota; Metazoa; Chordata; Amphibia; Anura; Pelobatidae. The record is from the annotation of a GenBank genome assembly.
AAUAAACGCAGGUAACACUCCAACAGUAAGGAUGGUAAUUUUAUUAACGGGUAAACCACCCCACAGAAAGUGCUAGAUGUGACAUUUCAGCUCAACAUUAUUAAAGCUCUACUGAGCCGAAACGUCGCACCUAGCACUUUCUGGCCCAUAUAGUCUGCCCAAUAUUCUAACCUGUUCUAGGAAGCCAGUGAGCGGAGCCUGGAGAACUGAGGAUAAAAAGUCAAACUAUUAGUGAUCAGUUUAGCUACUUACACAGUGGCAGAUCAGAGGGGAGCACCUGGUCAAAAUCCCCCAGAAACCAUGGGAACAACGUAUGUCUGUCUGGC